GGCGAUGUAGAAGUGGUUAAAAGUCAAGCUCAGAACUUGAAACUUGAGUUCAAAUCCCGACAUUGCUC
RNAcentral lists this transfer RNA (68 nucleotides) under Equus asinus (donkey). It matches the Rfam family "tRNA". From Rfam's summary of the family: Transfer RNA (tRNA) molecules are approximately 80 nucleotides in length. Their secondary structure includes four short double-helical elements and three loops (D, anti-codon, and T loops). Lineage: Eukaryota; Metazoa; Chordata; Mammalia; Perissodactyla; Equidae. The record is from Rfam by way of RNAcentral. RNAcentral also lists the same sequence under 1 other name.